Molecule: long non-coding RNA, 1247 nt
Filed under: Mytilus galloprovincialis (Mediterranean mussel)
Lineage: Eukaryota; Metazoa; Mollusca; Bivalvia; Mytilida; Mytilidae
Source: RNAcentral
AAGGUAAACUUGGAAUUGAUAGUACAAAAAUAAAACAGAAUAGGCCUUUUAUCCGGGAUUGGCUAUUUUGUAACUAUUUUACAUGUGCAGUUGAAUUAGUUUUGAAAAUAAUAUUAUCCAGCUACAUGUAUACAUGUGUCAAUGAAACAACGGCAAUCGUAUCCCUCAGAGCAAUCUGCUCUUUGAUUAUAAUAGUUUUUGAGAACUUUAACUGGUCAAUGAUAAAAUCAAGAGAGAACAUUUUCCCGUCAGAUUUCCAGUGGCUAAUAUCUCGAAAACAAGCACAUUGACCCCUUUAUUUGUUUUGCUUUUUUUAUUCCUCAAUAAAUACCCUAUCAAUAAAUACUAGUGUUAUAGAAAGCUUUUUAUUUUGAAAAUGAACAGCGAACUUCCUUAAAUUAGAAAAUCAAGAAUUUUUAUUAUUUUGUUCAUGAAUUAAAUAAGCAACGGUAAACAUAUAUUUUCCGUUUAUACGCCAAAGAAAAUGUCUUGUUUCCACCAGAGAAUUAUUUAGUACCCCCUGCUUAUCAGCAUACGAAAUCGGUAGGGUAUAUUGUUUUUCUUCUUAUAUUUUUACUUAUUAGGAAGAAUCAGAGAGGGUCUUGAAGAUCAAACAAAAGAUAUCGAGUGAUCAUUUGCUUUAUAAAUGUAUAUCCUCAAAUAUUGUUAUAUCGUCUCAGUGUUUUCUCCUAAACUGAAAAUAUUUACUAUUUCUUUGGUAGGUUCUUGUUUAUAAAAAAUACACAUUAUAGUUUAAUUCAUUCACAAUAACAGUCCAAACACAACAACAUGUAAAUUGAGUGCUAUUGCUCACUAUAAGUAACAACGCUCAAUUUUAUUGACAUUUCAUGGUUCUGAAUGACGCUUGUAAUGUCUAGAACAGCUCAUUCGGACCAGGUCACAUAUUACAUACAAGAAAGCCGCACUUGUACGACUUUGCCGCAGAGCUAUAGAAAAACAGUACAUUAACGGUAAACUGGAAUCAGCUUGUAUUACGCUACACUCAACAAAGUGUAGUAGUCAGCCGAAAACCAGCUUACAUUAACGGGUGUUACGCAGAUAAUUUGAAGGUAAUACACGGACACUUUUUAGUUGUGACACGGACUUUUUUAAUGAAUAUAAUAAUAAAAAAAAUGUAUACAGUUAUUUUGCGCUGGCAAUAAUAACUAUUUUUCAAACUCCUCCAGUAUAUUACUAUUCAUAUCAGUUUAGUAAGUUCAAGAUUAUCCAGAAUAAAAAAAAAAAAA